GCCAGACCCUGCGAUGACGGUGGCAGCCUCCAAGAGUGGCCAAAGUGUGCGGCCCAAGCAACCGGGCAUUCUUAGGAGAAUGGGAAUUGACUCGGAAUACUCAUACCUCCGUCACCAACUGGCCAACGGACCGGUGCCGGGAGCGUGGCUUCUCAUUUUCCAGCCUUCCUUGCUGUGGUGGUUUUGAGGAACUUACUGGAUGGUUUUCUUUUGUUCAUAGUUGGUGUAGGAGAAGGGCCAUGGUGUGCUUUUUGCUUCUUAUGGUUCUUGCUUCAGGUGCUCAUGACAAGGGGUUUUUUUUGGGUUGAGUCUUGUGGUUGGAUUUCUUUUUGAUGGGUUCUUAUGUUUUUGAAGGAUGUGUUUUUAAAGGUUUAUAAUGUUUUUAAUGGGUGAUAGCAUGAAGUAGAGGGUAGGUUUUUAAUUCGGUUGUGGAGGCUUUUAUUGGCGUGAGUAUGUAGUGGUUUAUUUUGGUUGGUUUGAGGUAGUGUCCUGUAGUUCAUUAUUGAGGUUUUUUUAAUAUUGAUAAUUGCAUUCUUGUUUAUUAUGUUGUAGGGGUUUUAUUUGUUUGUCUUGUUUGAUUGCUUUGUGUGUUUUAUUGUCUCAGACAAUUUGGGAGUUGUUAUUUAUGGUUACUUUUCUCUUUUGGUGACAUGUUUAUUUCGAAGAGGUAUUUGUGCUUUGAUGUUUUGAGGCAUUCUGAGUUCCUUGAGUUAGGAAUUAUUAUUUUGUUGUUGUGAAUAUAUUUUUUUUUUUUUGUAGUUGGAUGUAUUUGUUGUUUUUUAUUAGUUUGAUUUUUGGGAACAUGGGUAUUUCUAUGGUGGAUCUUUAUAGGUAGUUAUUUUAUUUGGGUGGUGAGUUUUUUGUUUCUUCAUGGUUUUGAUUUUUUUAUAUCUGUAAUUAUUUGGCGGGAGUUUAGUUAAUUUUAUAGAGUAUUGAGUUCUCUUGAUGAGUUAGUGUAGUGGUAGGGUAUUGUUUGGUUUUUUUUUAGAAGCAUUUGGGAUCUGUUUGGUUUGGAGUAUAAGAGGUUAGUUGAAGAGUUUUUUUCUUUUUAGUGUUUUUUUUGUUUUGUGUGGGUUUUUAUAGGUGUUUUUUUUCAUUAAUGUUCCAUUUUUGUUAUGUGAUAAGAACUGUUAGUGAAAGGAGUGUAGUGGGGGUUUUUUUGCUGGUAGUUGGUUGGCUGGUGGAGCCUUUCUGAAUUUUUUGGAUGGUAUUCUUGGUUAUUCGAUGCUGUUUGUUUUGGUAUUUUAUUUUUAGGAAUUGGAUUAUAACUGCAAAGUUCUAACUGUAACUCUAAUGAAACAAAACAAAUGCAUAAAUAUGAAAAUGGGAAUAUCAAACUUCAAUUUUAAAUAUAAACGGAAAACAUAUAAAUAAAACAUGUAACAUAAAUAAUGUUAUCCUUUACUAUUAGAUAGUAUAUUGUUUGAUAUAUAGUAUUUUGUUUAUAUAAAUACAUAUAAGUAUAGAUUAUAAAUAUAAAUAAAAUCCAUAUAAAAUAUCCAUAUUGAGAUGUAUAAUUAAUACAUGUGGAUAUAUAAAUAUAAAAUUACUAAAUAAUAGAAAUCAAUACAGUACAUAAUGCAUAUUUUACUGUGUAUGUCCUAUUUUAACACAUUCUAUGUCCUAAAUAUUAUAUAUCAAAAUACGGUACCUCAAUAUAUUGUAAUCGAAUAUAUAACAACUUGUAAAAAUCAAAAAUAGAAAGAUAGAAAUAUUUAAAUAGAGUUUAAAAUAAAGAGGAUUUUUAUUUUGUAUUUGGUAGUAGGUAGGGGGUUUUUAAUAAAAUCUAUAAAUAUAAAUAAAAUUAGAAAUCUAUGUAUAGAAAUACAUCCUAAAUACCUUAAGAUCUAUAUAUAAAAUUCAAAGGUAAGUAAAAAAAAAAAUAGCAGUAUCUACGAAGUAUAAUAUAAAUAAUAAUUUGUCUAUCUUGCUACCUUAAUAUAUAUGUGAUAUAUAUUUAUAAAUACAUCACUAUAAAGUAGAAAUGCAAAUGUGACUAUAAUGAUGAAAAAAACAUAUAAAUAUUCAAGUAUCGUUUAAAGAAAGGGCUUUUUUUGGUUUUUAUUUGGUUAGAGGCAGGGUUUUAAUGGAAGAAAAAUGAACAUACCUUUUCUUUUGAUAUCAUUCUAAGUAUAGAAAUAUAUAUUCAAUGUAUACAGAGAUAUAUAAAAAUAUAAAAUAGAAAUGACAAUAAGUAUUCAGAAUAGAUAGAAUAUAAAUAACACCAUACAUCAAUCUAAAUUUUAAAUGUAAAUUUGAAUAUAAAUGCAAAAAAUAGAGAUAAAUUUAAACGCAGUUUGAAAGAUAAGGGGUUUUUAGAAGAUUUUUACUUGGAUAGAGGCAGGGGUUUAUUUU
Taeniopygia guttata (zebra finch) is the source of this 2355-nucleotide non-coding RNA. NCBI's taxonomy places the organism in Eukaryota, Metazoa, Chordata, Aves, Passeriformes, Estrildidae. The record is from RefSeq and is a predicted model, not a curated record.